Long non-coding RNA from Acinonyx jubatus (cheetah), 1841 nucleotides. RefSeq lists it as uncharacterized. The transcript has 5 exons. The record is from RefSeq and is a predicted model, not a curated record. Lineage: Eukaryota; Metazoa; Chordata; Mammalia; Carnivora; Felidae.
UACGAACUGCCCUAGAGAAAAGGUGGUCUCAGCCAAGCACUCAGUAUAAAGAAGAGACAGAAAAAAUUGUUUUUUCCUCCUCUGUACUUUCUGGGGACCAGGAUGAGAACUCACUGGGGCACCCCACCUGGAACCUGCAGAUGACGUUCUGGGAAAACUGGUAGUCUGCAAAGGAUAAGAAUAAAUAACAAACUCAGCUCUCCCAGAUUUCUACUUGUGGUACCCAGUAGAGAGAAGGGAUGAAGCACACAUGAGUUAUCCAACAUUAGUGUGUGUGCAUCAUAUUAAAAGGAUGCUUGUUGCCUGAUACAGUGGCUCAUUGGAAAGUAAACUCCAGGCAACCAGGCACAAGUGAAAAACCAAGCAACCAUCAGUCUCAGAAAGUACAGACUGGCCUCCUUAUGUCCCAUUGGUUUUCCUGCUGAUGCGGCAUUCUGUAUGUUCCCCAUGGAUGCCCAGAGGGAAGGCACAGCCUUCAGAAGAUUAUUAGAGUCUCAAUUUGAGGACUAAUUCCCUAAAGAGACAUGAAAAAUUCAACUAUGACUUCAAACAUGACUGCCCUCAGGAUGUAUGUUGGUGGAGCAUUAACUGAGGAGCCAAACUCACCCUUGGCCUGCAUCACUACCCAAGGAGAUAUGUGAACUGUGAGAAGGCAACCAGUGGAGAGGGAAAGAGCCCAGGAAGGAAAAACAUGAUGUACAACAGCUGAAAAGGAAUUACCCAACAAAGGACCAGGGGAUUUUAAUCGUUUGAUCGACUCCUGACAAUUGGAGGUUUGACAUGUUUGUUUUUAAGAAGUCACUAACUCUUUUUGCCUGAAUCAGAGGAACAUUCAUGUGGCUGUUAGUCAUUCUGAACUUGGUAAGGACCUGAAGCACAGGCUGAAGGGUAGGUCCCAGGUAUCAGUGACUGAGGUAUUUAGCAAGGUCCAGCAGGACUCUAACAGCAUCCACUGCACCUUCCUUAUAAGUGGGAACUAUUAUGUGACCGAAUUAUAUGUUUCAUUUUUUCUCACCUGUGGAAGAUGGUUGUGAAGAUAAUAAAGUAACAUUCACUGAGUACCAAGUGUUGAGUCUGCAAGGGUUGUGAGCAGUGGAUAAAUGUCAGCCAUUAUGAACAUCUCAAUCAUCCCUGACAAGUCCAGGAGGAAGGAAUUAAUGUAAUCUUGAUUUUAGAGAUGAGGAAAGAGAUUUAGAGAGAUUACUAAAUGACUUGCCCAUGUACCUAGGAAGCAGUGAAUCAGGUUUGGAGGCUUCUAAUCACUAGUCUACACUACCAGCACCAAGUGUAGAAUGCAGUAGAGAAAGGGCUAGCGUCCAACACACUGGAGUAGGUAAGCUACUCUCUUCUACUCUUCCAAAAUAUUUCAGAUAAACCAAAACAUUGAUCAUAGUGUAUCUACUGACUCACUGGAGCACAAAAGAGACUGUUUAAAAAUUCUAGUAGCUCUUUAUUAUAUUUUAUGAAGAAAAUGAUAUCCUUGCUGUAUUUAUGACUGUUAGAAUUCGCAAGGCCAAGGGUCUGUAUUAUUAGAUGGGAAAUCAGGGAAGAACAAAGUAUUUCAGUUCAGCAUCCUACACUUGGAAGUGACAAUGCAACAAAGAGAUGUAUUCAUUGGGGAGCUCAUCCUAUGAUUGCAAAUAUAAGCCAUACAAUUAAAAUGACCUGGCUGGCUUGGGUACAAAGACUAAAAUGAAACACAACUCUGCUUAACUGAUGAAAUUAGACUGCUGAGUUACAAUUUUUCAUGUCCUGCUAUUUAAAAAAAUCAAGUAAUAUUUUUCAAAGCUUCGAUGGUAACAUGGAAAAACCCAAUACAAUGCAAACAGAGAUUCAAAGAA